Molecule: small RNA, 161 nt
Filed under: Acanthamoeba polyphaga mimivirus
Lineage: Varidnaviria; Bamfordvirae; Nucleocytoviricota; Megaviricetes; Imitervirales; Mimiviridae
Also listed under: 1 other name
Description: uncharacterized ncRNA
Source: RNAcentral
AUCAAUUCAAAAAUUACUAACUAUACUGUUAAUCAACGAGCAAUAUGUACGUGGUCGAUGCUAGCGGAUGUUGUCGAUUGGUUAUUGGACUUAUUUCCAAAGUCAAGAACGCAAUUACUGAUAACCGAAAACAAAAGUAAUCAAGAUUUAACAAUGUACAU